RNAcentral lists this ribosomal RNA (443 nucleotides) under uncultured bacterium. RNAcentral describes it as "partial 16S ribosomal RNA". It matches the Rfam family "Bacterial small subunit ribosomal RNA", at positions 338 to 795 of the family's 1533-position model. The record is from RNAcentral.
CCUACGGGAGGCAGCAGUGGGGGAUAUUGGACAAUGGGGGGAACCCUGAUCCAGCGACGCCGCGUGAGUGAAGAAGUAUUUCGGUAUGUAAAGCUCUGUCAGAAGGGAAGAAAGAAAUGACGGUACCUGACCAAGAAGCCCCGGCUAACUACGUGCCAGCAGCCGCGGUAAUACGGAGGGGGCAAGCGUUAUCCGGAAUUACUGGGGGUAAAGGGAGCGUAGACGGGUAAGUAAGUCUGGAGGGAAAGGCCGGGGCCCAACCCCUGGACUGCUCUGGAAACUAUUGAACUUGAGUGCAGGAGGGGUAAGCGGAAUUCCUAGUGUAGCGGUGAAAUGCGUAGAUAUUAGGAGGAACACCAGUGGCGAAGGCGGCUUACUGGACUGUAACUGACGUUGAGGCUCGAAAGCGUGGGGAGCAAACAGGAUUAGAUACCCGAGUAGUC